AUUGAACGCUGGCGGCAUGCCUUACACAUGCAAGUCGAACGGCAGCACGGGAGCAAUCCUGGUGGCGAGUGGCGAACGGGUGAGUAAUAUAUCGGAACGUGCCCAGUCGUGGGGAUAACGUAGCGAAAGCUACGCUAAUACCGCAUACGAUCUAUGGAUGAAAGCGGGGGAUCGCAAGACCUCGCGCGAUUGGAGCGGCCGAUAUCAGAUUAGGUAGUUGGUGAGGUAAAGGCUCACCAAGCCGACGAUCUGUAGCUGGUCUGAGAGGACGACCAGCCACACUGGGACUGAGACACGGCCCAGACUCCUACGGGAGGCAGCAGUGGGGAAUUUUUGGACAAUGGGCGCAAGCCUGAUCCAGCAAUGCCGCGUGCAGGAUGAAGGCCUUCGG
RNAcentral lists this ribosomal RNA (391 nucleotides) under uncultured bacterium. RNAcentral's name for it is "bacterial SSU rRNA". It matches the Rfam family "Bacterial small subunit ribosomal RNA", at positions 30 to 421 of the family's 1533-position model. The record is from RNAcentral.